Molecule: ribosomal RNA, 564 nt
Filed under: uncultured bacterium
Lineage: Bacteria
Description: partial 16S ribosomal RNA
Rfam family: Bacterial small subunit ribosomal RNA
Source: RNAcentral
CUAAGAAUAUUCCGCAAUGGACGGAAGUCUGACGGAGCGACGCCGCGUGGAUGACGAAGGCCGAAAGGUUGUAAAGUUCUUUUGCUGGGGAAGAAUAACCGCAGGAGGGAAUGCCUGUGGGAUGACAAGAACCGGCGAAUAAGCCCCGGCCAACUACGUGCCAGCAGCCGCGGUAACACGUAGGGGGGCGAGCGUUGUUCGGAAUUACUGGGCGUAAAGGGCAUGUAGGCGGCUUGGAAAGCCUGGCGUGAAAGUCUGCAGCUUAACUGCAGGGUGCGCUGGGAACUGCUGAGCUUGAGUGACGGAGAGGGAGCUGGAAUUCCUGGUGUAGGGGUGAAAUCUGUAGAUAUCAGGAAGAACACCGAUGGCGAAGGCAAGCUCCUGGCCGAUGACUGACGCUGAGGUGCGAAAGUGUGGGGAUCAAACAGGAUUAGAUACCCUGGUAGUCCACACAGUCAACGAUGUGCACUAGGUGCUGGGGCGGUAGCUUCGGUGCCGGAGCGAACGUGGUAAGUGCACCGCCUGGGGAGUAUGCUCGCAAGGGUGAAACUCAAAUGAAUUGAC